GACGUAGGGCGCAAGCGUUGUCCGGAUUUAUUGGGCGUAAAGAGCUCGUAGGCGGCCUGUCGCGUCGACCGUGAAAACCCGCAGCUCAACUGCGGGCUUGCGGUCGAUACGGGCAGGCUGGAGUUCGGUAGGGGAGACUGGAAUUCCUGGUGUAGCGGUGAAAUGCGCAGAUAUCAGGAGGAACACCGGUGGCGAAGGCGGGUCUCUGGGCCGAUACUGACGCUGAGGAGCGAGAGCGUGGGGAGCGAACAGG
RNAcentral lists this ribosomal RNA (253 nucleotides) under uncultured bacterium. RNAcentral's name for it is "partial 16S ribosomal RNA". It matches the Rfam family "Bacterial small subunit ribosomal RNA", at positions 524 to 776 of the family's 1533-position model. The record is from RNAcentral.